This 417-nucleotide ribosomal RNA is filed under the name uncultured bacterium. RNAcentral describes it as "bacterial SSU rRNA". It matches the Rfam family "Bacterial small subunit ribosomal RNA", at positions 355 to 787 of the family's 1533-position model. The record is from RNAcentral.
UCGGGAAUAUUGCGCAAUGGAGGAAACUCUGACGCAGUGACGCCGCGUAUAGGAAGAAGGUUUUCGGAUUGUAAACUAUUGUCGUUAGGGAAGAUAAAAGACUGUACCUAAGGAGGAAGCCCCGGCUAACUAUGUGCCAGCAGCCGCGGUAAUACAUAGGGGGGCAAGCGUUAUCCGGAAUUAUUGGGUGUAAAGGGUGCGUAGACGGAAGAACAAGUUGGUUGUGAAAUCCCUCGGCUCAACUGAGGAACUGCAACCAAAACUAUUCUCCUUGAGUGUCGGAGAGGAAAGUGGAAUUCCUAGUGUAGCGGUGAAAUGCGUAGAUAUUAGGAGGAACACCAGUGGCGAAGGCGACUUUCUGGACGAUAACUGACGUUGAGGCACGAAAGUGUGGGGAGCAAACAGGAUUAGAUACCC